Molecule: non-coding RNA, 23 nt
Filed under: Rattus norvegicus (Norway rat)
Lineage: Eukaryota; Metazoa; Chordata; Mammalia; Rodentia; Muridae
Source: RNAcentral
UCCAGUUUUAAAUGCCACUAGCC